CCGCGGUAUUCUGACCGUGCGAAGGUAGCAUAAUCAAUAAUCUUUUAAUUGAAGGUCUGUAUGAAUGGUUGGACGAGAAAUAAACUGUUUUUUAUUUGAAAUUUAAAUUUAACUUUUAAGUGAAAAGGCUUAAAUGUAAUAAAAAGACGAUAAGACCCUAUAAAUCUUUAUAACAUAGAAAAUAAGAGUAAUUUGGAAGUGAAACGUUUUUUAUUUUUGAUUGAUAUUUUGUUGGGGCGACAUGAAUAAUUAAUUUACUGUUCAAAGAAAAAUACAAUAUAUUUUUGAAUAUAAUAAAAAGAUCCUUAAUAGAGAUCGCAAGAUAAAGUUACUUUAGGGAUAACAGCGUUAUUUUAUUUGAGAGUUCGUAUCGAAAAUAAAGUUUGCGACCUCGAUGUUGAAUUAAAAUUUCUUUGGGGUGUAGCCGCUUCAAAAGUAAGUCUGUUCGACUUUUAAAAUUUUACAUGAUUUGANNUUCAAA
RNAcentral lists this ribosomal RNA (481 nucleotides) under Areopaguristes sp. USNM 1548044. Its description in RNAcentral is "partial large subunit ribosomal RNA". It matches the Rfam family "Bacterial large subunit ribosomal RNA", at positions 1931 to 2616 of the family's 2925-position model. The record is from RNAcentral. Lineage: Eukaryota; Metazoa; Arthropoda; Malacostraca; Decapoda; Diogenidae.